ACGAAGGGGGCUAGCGUUGCUCGGAAUGACUGGGCGUAAAGGGCGCGUAGGCGGAUUAUUCAGUCAGGCGUGAAAUUCCUGGGCUCAACCUGGGGACUGCGUUUGAGACGGAUAGUCUUGAGUUCGGAAGAGGGUCGUGGAAUUCCCAGUGUAGAGGUGAAAUUCGUAGAUAUUGGGAAGAACACCGGUGGCGAAGGCGGCGACCUGGUCCGAUACUGACGCUGAGGCGCGAAAGCGUGGGGAGCAAACAGGAUUAGAUACCCUGGUAGUCCACGCUGUAAACGAUGUGUGCUGGAUGUUGGGGGGCCUAGCCUUUCAGUGUCGUAGCUAACGCGAUAAGCACACCGCCUGGGGAGUACGGCCGCAAGGUUG
This 372-nucleotide ribosomal RNA is filed under the name uncultured bacterium. RNAcentral's name for it is "bacterial SSU rRNA". It matches the Rfam family "Bacterial small subunit ribosomal RNA", at positions 525 to 896 of the family's 1533-position model. The record is from RNAcentral.